Molecule: long non-coding RNA, 1764 nt
Filed under: Fukomys damarensis (Damara mole-rat)
Lineage: Eukaryota; Metazoa; Chordata; Mammalia; Rodentia; Bathyergidae
Description: lncRNA (ENSFDAG00000021828.1)
Source: RNAcentral
CGCCGCAGCCGGGGCCUGAGCUCGGAGACGGCGCCUUCUCCACGGAAAAGCUCUCGGGAGUCCUCCUCCUGCCCUCCUCGGCGGCUCUUUCCAAAGCCUUCCGGAUGCGACCCCCCCUGAGCCACCACCCUCCGGCUCCCUCCGGUCCCCAGCCUGGCCCGUCCACCGAGUGCUCCCCUCGAAGAACUUCACCGCCCCUCCGCAGGGGCCACGUUAAAAAUUGCCUCUCCUUCCUGCCCCAAGCUGUGCUGUGCCCGGCACAUCACAAGAUCGUGGUCUACUCAGGAAAACGUCCCUGUGAGUCCUGUGCCGUGUGCUUCUCCACGGGAGCGCCUUUCUGUAUGGGCUCCCGGAAAGGAAAACCGCGUGGAAGCCCCCAUAAAAGAAUGUGUGGCUGUACCUGGAACGUUAAGACCCACUGAAGUCAGCAACCUCCAGCCUAGGACUCCAGCGACCGCCCAAGAAAUGCUAGAUGUCUCCACCCACUUAGACACCUUCCAUCUGUGUGUCCUUGAGAAAGUUACUCACUUGAUCUACCACGGUACCACCCUGAAUACACCCAAUUUUGGUUGCUCUCAGAAGUUAAGCAGAGUCUGGCUACUACUCAUCUGCCCUCUACUUCAGUCUCCUUCUCCUCCUCCCUCAGACACAUUAUUUUUUGUCACUAGUCCUCUGCUGAGAGAAAGUCAGGGUACAGGGGCUUGAGAGGAGUAUUAGUCACAGAGUAUGGUGGAAAAGAAUAGCAAUAUCUUCGUCAGCACUGCUCAAGAUUAAAUGGCAAAGUGCAUGUAAUGACCCCAGACUUAUGGCUAGGUCGCAGGUCGGGGUAUACAAAAUUUUUCAAAAUAAUUAAAAAGAACGCAUUGCAGGCCAGGGAUUUAGCUCAGUGGCAACAGAUGUGCCUUGAAAGUGCUAGGUCUUGAGUUAGAUCUCCCGAACCAAAACAGCAUCUCAGACAUUCUCCUGUUGUUGGUAUAGAAUUUGCUCCAGGUGAAAUCACUGGGUCAAAGAGUAUGACUGUUUCAAAAGCUGGGUGCUAAUUUCCAUGUCAACUGGAGUGAAAGUGAGCUCCAGCUUUAGCAUGUCUUUACCAAGGUCAAAUACUUGUACUUUAAAAAUGCCUUGCUAAUUUGACAGGUGAAAAAAGACUGUCACUUGUCAUCUCACUGUCCAUUCUGUUGGUAACUCAUGAUACUGAAACCUUUGACCAAAACCACUAUGUUUAUUCAUUUAUUUAUUUGUACCGGGGAUCAAACUGAGAAACAACUUGCGCUUGGGGGGCAGGCAUGGUGACACUGAGCUAAAUCCCCAGUCCACUACAUUUAUUUAUUACUUAUAUUUUCUCUCUCUCUCUCUCUCUCUCUCUCUCUCUCUCCACCUUUUGCAAUAUUUCUAUAGAGGUCUUUGUGUUUCCCUUUAAUGUUUUAAGCAAGAUGGGAUUGUUUUAUCCUAAAUAAGAUGGGACUGAGUAAGGGACUAUUUUUUAAUACAGUUUUUUUGAGGCAAGGUCUCCUUACAUAGUCCAGGCUGGCCUUGAACUCAUGAACCACUUGCUGGGAUGACAGGUGUGAGUCCCUUGCUGGGACUCAUUUUUUCUGUCACUAAUCCCAGAAAGUCAGGGUACAGGGCCUGAGAGGAGUAUUAGUCACAGGAUACAGUGGAAAAGAGUGACCAAAGAAAUACAUUUGGAUGACCACAUCAGCAUGUGGUCCUGCCCAGAGUGAGCUGACAUCUUAUUAAAUGAGAACAGUUCCCAAAGCACAG